Small nucleolar RNA from Meriones unguiculatus (Mongolian gerbil), 130 nucleotides. The record is from Ensembl. Lineage: Eukaryota; Metazoa; Chordata; Mammalia; Rodentia; Muridae.
ACUGCCCCUAGAGGCUUUGCAUGUGUCCCUGCCAUGUCACACGUGCAUCAGUAGAUGACAGAGAGGAGAGGCUGUGUCUACGCCCAGUGUUCUGACCUGUGAACAUCGGAAAAAAAUCGAGCCUGAGAUG